Molecule: long non-coding RNA, 329 nt
Filed under: Capra hircus (goat)
Lineage: Eukaryota; Metazoa; Chordata; Mammalia; Artiodactyla; Bovidae
Description: lncRNA (ENSCHIG00010022185.1)
Source: RNAcentral
UACUAAUGGCCAGUCUGAAAAAUGAGAUCAUUUCAGCAUUCUUUUGUGAAUAACAUCCUAUGAUUAGAGAACAGUCUCAUACGUUCUCUCUCAUUUGAUUCCAGAGGCAAGCGAGGGGUUAUUUAUCGAAGUAAUUUUUAUUCCCGUUUUGCAGAGGCAGAAUGUUCAGAGAGACUGCAGAGUCCAACCACAUCUCCUGGUUUCAAGUCUGGUCUUCCUGUCGUCCUACCUCACUGUCUCCUGCUGCAAAGGCUCUACGGGUAGAAGAUGAAUUGCAAACACCAACUUGAAAUGAAAAAAAAAAGAGAGAAGAAACUGAGCCCUGCUAC